This 702-nucleotide long non-coding RNA is filed under the name Pongo abelii (Sumatran orangutan). RNAcentral describes it as "lincRNA". Lineage: Eukaryota; Metazoa; Chordata; Mammalia; Primates; Hominidae. The record is from RNAcentral.
AUUCUAGAGCAGAAUCCCUGGGGCAGCCCCUGCUGAAGGAGGGUGCAUCUGUUGAAAAUCUCACCGCCGCCCCCACCCCGCCCAGCCUUCAAUUUAGAGGAAUUUCUAGUUCAUGCAGAAUGAAGACAAGAUCACAUAAGUGAGGAUGACGCCCUAUUUACAAGUGUGGUUUGGAAGACUGAAGUGGAAACCUUGGGAAAGGGCCUCAGAGUAUGUCAGCUGGGGUCAGACGGGAACAGGAGGCUGGCUCAACACACAUUUAUUGCACUCCUGCUUCAUGCCAAGAAAUGCACCAAAAUCUGGAAUUGUGUAACACAGCAAAGGAAAAGACUCAUCUCCAGGAAGCCCCCUUGUCUAGGAAGAGAAAUUGAAUAUCAGCAUAAGGUGGUGAAAAGCUGUGAAGGAGAUGAGUGCCACAAGUCCAUGGAGGAAGGAUUCUAGCCUGGACAGAGUCUCCAUGAAUUGCAAGGGAAAACAAUGGUACACUGGCAUUUCUAUUUGAUAACCCGUUCUCUUUGGAAUUCUGGUUAGAAAUCAAAGGCUUACUUGAGUUUUAAUGCUUUCAGGACUUGAAAUACUUUUCUAUCUUCCUAAUAAUAUAUUAACAUUUUCUGAGGACAACAUAUAUCUGGAAAACAACAUUAUUUACUCAAAUAAUUUUUUUUGAAAAAUGGACCAAAAAAAAAGAAAAACCGACAAAAA